UCUCUGUGUGAUGAUGAAAACAGAUCACGAGUCUCAUGUAAUCCAUUCUACUAAACCAUGUUGACAAUCGAGGCAUUUGUCUGAGAGAG
Small nucleolar RNA from Hordeum vulgare subsp. vulgare (domesticated barley), 89 nucleotides. The record is from RefSeq and is a predicted model, not a curated record. Lineage: Eukaryota; Viridiplantae; Streptophyta; Magnoliopsida; Poales; Poaceae.